RNAcentral lists this ribosomal RNA (810 nucleotides) under Bursaphelenchus willibaldi. RNAcentral's name for it is "SSU rRNA". It matches the Rfam family "Eukaryotic small subunit ribosomal RNA", at positions 189 to 1018 of the family's 1831-position model. The record is from RNAcentral. Lineage: Eukaryota; Metazoa; Nematoda; Chromadorea; Rhabditida; Aphelenchoididae.
UUCGGGUUAAACGUGCUGUUAUUGGAGCAAAACCAGUCUUGUACUGUUUGCUAACCCAGAAUAAUUCUGCAUAUCGCAUGGUCUUGUACCGGCGAAGUUUCUUUCAAGUAUCUGCUUUAUCAACUAUCGUUGGUAGUUUAUUGGUCUACCAUGGUGUUGACGGGUAACGGAGAAUCAGGGUUUGACUCCGGAGAGGGAGCCUUAGAAACGGCUACCAUGUCUAAGGAUAGCAGCAGGCACGAAAAUUACCCAAUAUCAAAACGAUGAGGUAGUGACGAGAAAUAACGAGAUCGUUCUCAUUGAGAUCGAUUAUUGGAAUGAGUACAAUCCAGAAAUUUUAACGAGUAUCUACGAGAGGGCAAGUCUGGUGCCAGCAGCCGCGGUAAUUCCAGCUCUCGUAAUGUAUAGAAUUAUUGUUGCGAUUAAAAAGUUCGUAGUUGGAUUGCAACGUAGGCAUGGGUCCAUCCUCGUGGUGCGCACUCAAUGUCUACAUUUUGCUGGUUUUUGCGGCGUUGUUUUCGGACGACGUUCGUGAUGCCAGCAGGAUUACUUUGAACGGCUCAAGUGCUUAAAGCAAGUCUUAUGACUGAAUACCGGUGCAUGGAAUAUUGGAACAAGGUUGUGGCUGAGUUUUAUUGGUUUUGUCGGCUAAAACAAUGGUUAACAGGAACAGCCGGGGGCAUUCGUAUCGCUGCGCGAGAGGUGAAAUUCGUGGACCGUAGCGAGACGACCGACAGCGAAGGCAUUUGCCAAGAGUGUUUUCAUUAAUCAAGAACGAAAGUCAGAGGUUCGAAGGCGAUUAGAUACCGC